UAAGUUACGGACUGCAUACUGGUGAACAUCGACGUACGUCUCGACGAUUUUUGCCGGUCACACGUUGUCUCAUUCCGGAUAAUUUUACCGUUCGCGUGGAUUAUACGUCUCUUCUGUUCUCGAUCUCUUGUUUCUUUCUCCCUAACUACUACUUUCUUUAGUUAAUCUCUGCGUCUGUUGCUAUCUCUUCUUCUCGCAUGCUUCUUUCAACUAUGCUGUUAUCACGUCUGUGUUGUAUUGCUACGUAGUGCUAUGGAACGUUUAUUUCUACUAUCCAAAUACGACAUCACUGACGCUUAUGUAUCGUGUGGUUCUAUUUCGCCGGAUAUGUAAGUUCCGUUUGCGGUCAGAAGUAAUAGCAGUGUGUACAGGCUUAUACGCAAAGAAACUAAUCACAUGGUUGCAUAUUGACACGAGAGGAUUUGUAAUUGAUUCUUAUCGAUUUGUCUCGCUGGAUAUUCUUGGCUGCUAACAAAAUGAAGUGAUAACCAUUUUGUCAUUGGACUUAACAAUUUGUUAUACGAAUGGCAUUAGUAUUUAUUGUGCGGUGGUGCAGUGACUGAUAAAAACUAUGACUGUAAUAUCUUAGAUUGAAGAAGACCGAUCUAAGUCAGAUUGGCGAUUUUUAAAAGCUUUUUGCUGGCACACGUGCUGAAGAUCGAGAAAAAAGAAGAGAGGAAUGGAAAAAAUAGUAGUGCGCGGUUCAGCGUUCGUUCGAUGACAACUUGUGAUAAACGCCACGCAUCCAACGACACGACUUGCUGAUCAUCAUCUUCUGGAGGAUCCCGAUAUAUAGUGAGAUAGAGUCUAUGUCGACUGCACGAGACUCGAUUACGAAUCAAGAACACUUGGUCCAUCUCAAAUUUUCCAAAACCAUUCCCAUGAGUCUUCGAGUAUUCCUGAACGAUCCGGAAAUUUGAAGUAAAAAGUUAAAAAAAAACUCUUUAGCAAGAUAUCUGCAGUAAAUGACCGUGUAAUGAUAAAAUAAAAAAUCAAGAGUCUAUGACAAUGAUAAAAGAGGUUGGUGUAAAAAUUGAAAAAUGUUGAACAAUCGGGUUUAACCGAGUGACAAGUCGGUGAAGUGUCAAUAAACGUAUCCAUAGAUACUUAUACGUAUGCGCGCAUACGGCUUAAGCUAGUGAUAAAAAUAAUUCCAAGGAUUGUGAAUAGUGAAAAUGGAUCCCGGUGAAGAUAUCUUAUCCAGCCGAAUGGAGUCGAACGCUUCCUCGUCCUCGAAUUCGACUCUGAGUCCGCGUACACCACCGAACUGUGCACGCUGUCGAAAUCACAGGUUAAAGAUUCCUCUUAAGGGUCACAAGAGGUACUGCAAGCACCGUUACUGCGUAUGCGAAAAGUGUCGACUGACUGCCGAGCGACAGAGGGUGAUGGCUGCACAAACAGCCCUAAGGAGAGCACAGGCGCAGGACGAGGCCAGAGUUCGGGGACCGGAAGAGCAGGUGGAUCCAAGACCCCUAGCUGCAGAGGGCAAUUGCUUGGCAUCGGUACCACAGCCGGCGAGAAGUCUGGAGGGUAGCUGCGACAGUAGCAGUGGAGAUUCGCCCAUCAGUAACCACGAUAGCAACGGGAUCCACAAUGGUAUAAGGGGUGUAGUUACUGUACUAGCCUCAAGAAAGAUGCCACCACUGCAUCCGCAACCAACGACUACGACACACGUACCCCAGGUACAACUUGGUGAGAACGUCGAGGUCCUAUUGGAAUACAGUACCAAACUUCUCGAGAGAUUUCGAUAUUCUUGGGAGAUGAUGCCACUGAUGUACGUCAUACUCAAGGACGCUAAGGCGGACCUCGAGGAGGCUACUAGACGCAUUGCCGAGGCGGUGGACGUCUUUCAUCUUAAAUUAACUUAUUCGACGAUGAUUAUAUAAUUUCAUUGAAUAUAUAUUUUUUUUCGCGAGAAAAUAAUUGCGCGAUCGAUGUCUUGUCGCACUUAUUAAAAAGUGUCGCUCUUCUUCAGGUAAUAAUAAAUUUAUAAGCUAUUGGAAUAUUGGACCUGUUCAGUGUUUUACGGAGUUGAAAGAUCUAUAGAUGAUCAUUUUUCGGGGAUAACUUUUUUUUCGUCGAUACACCAUUUUUUCUAUCAUCACCUCAGCACACGAAGAUCUGAUCCAUGCCGAUGCACCGGUUGAUCGUCGAAUUCUUGAAGAUCACGAUAAUCAAUGCUGGAAGAUCAAAUUUUACAAGAAUUUUCGACACUGAAGAUCCUUAAGCCCGAUUCGCACGUCGGCCGAGCGAAGGAAGGCGAAGGCAAUUUUAUUAAUAAUUUCUUCUUCGCAAUGAGCCUCAGACCAUAAAACAAGAGCGGAAGCUUCGUUUGACUUAGUCGUGAUGUGGAUGAACCUUUACAGCACGACUCCUGAAUAUCUCACCUACGGAAGAUUCUACACCUGAAGAAUCGAUCUACAAUAGAUCUUAUAAACGUGUCGCCGACGACAUCGGAUAAACUUUUAACGAUCGUCGCUCAUUGAAAACAACACGAUUCGUCGAAACGGCACGAAGUUUCUGGCUCGCUGAAUUGCAUUAUGAGAACAAAUGGAAAGUAACAAAAAGGAAGAAGAAGCGAAGAAAGAAGACACGUAUAAAAGGCAUUUGGUGUCUCAGACACUUCGACACCCGAAGAUCCAGAAGAGUUCUUAUAACGAAAAACUGGCACUGUUCGUGACCGGAAGUGGCGGGACCCAAGAAGUGACAAAAGAUCGUUCGGUGAUAGCUUGCUGAAUUACACGAAGCGCAAAGGAAGGUUCAUUCCAAAGACGAAGAAAAGGAGAAGCGAAGGGAACGAACGUUGUCCAACCACGAUUUCUGGACCGGAAGUCAAAUGCAAGAUUGGCGAACGGUUACCAUCGCCAUCGAAACUGGAGGAUCUGGACAACCGGAAAGGACGUCUCCGUUUUUUUUUUUUUUUUUUUCCCGGACGAGAUCCCGAUCUCAUGACGCAGUUACGAUUUUUUUCUAAUUUUUUUUUUAAUGCUAUUAAUCACAUCUAUCAAAAUGACGACGUUGACGAUCCUAACUUCGUUACCUUGACGCUUACUUGUGCGCCGUAUAAUUUGCGUUAAAAAAUUGGUCUGUUCUUCGCGUGUCCGCUGGCCGAACAUGCGACAAGGAGGAUGACGAUCGAAUUUCCAUUGAACUUCCGAUCGAUGACUUCUGCGAUGCCCCGGAAAAAGAGAUAGCGGAAUGCAGUGUAAAAAAUAUGUAACGCGCUUCCGGUAUUAUUGAGCGAGCGGGAACGCAAUUAUUAAUAGGAGUGAAAAGGUAAAAGCGCCUGUGCAUUGCGUAUACUACGGUACUUCAUUUUAUUUAUUGUGAUAUUAGGGAGAAAGUCAUUAUCACGGUUAGUGGCCGGCGUCGAAGUCUUGUGCUUCAUGAGACCGUAGCGUCGGGACGUUUCGAGUCGUACAAGUUUGCUCCAUUUGAUUAACGAGAGAGCCACUCCUCGGUAUUUUCUAUUUUUUUUUUAUUUUCUUCUUCUUUUCUUUUAUAUAAUAGGCGUAUCUGUCACCCCGCCUGUGUGUAUAUAAUAUAAUAAAUGUAUAUGUAUGCGUACCACAGUAUGUAUGAUUGACCAUGUAUUCUUAAAAAGUUCACGGAAUAUGAAACUGUCUGUAUCAAACGUAUAGACUCUGAGUAUGCGAGGCGUGGAUGAUUUGUUGAUGAAACAGAAAAAGAAAACAGAAUCCUUUUCAUCUUCGAGCGCCCAUUAGCGUCUUAAAAUUUACGUACUGCUGCCAUAUUUUUUUAAGGGUAACGCUUUUACUAUAUCGUAAUCUAUCGUGUAUUGUGUAUACGGUGUGAAAUGUGCAGGGAAGACUUGAGGAUUUAUCGAAGGAUCAAGGAAUAAAGAAAUAAAACGUACACACGCACGCGUACUAUAAAUAUAUAAAUAUAAUGUAUAGUGGGUCUUUUCGUGUGUGAGAGAGAGAGAGCGCGAGAGUGUGUGUGUGUGUGUGAGGGAUGGGAAACGAGAAAGGGUUGCCAAAAGAAAUUGGUGUUAUGAAUUUUCAUACGAGAGAUUAGCAAAGAAAAAAUCAAAAUAUAUUCAGAGAUCCGAAGAAGAAGGGGGAUACACCGUUUUUCCUGGCGAAAAUUUCAAGAUAUUUCGCCGAAUCUCUAAUCGCGAUUGUCGCGUACAUGUCGCACGUUCCUAAAGACGUUGCUCGAUGAGGUGCGACAUAAGCGUCGAGAUGUUCAAAAUCAAAAUUAAAGCAUAAGAUAAAACCCCCUGGCGUCACUGGUCUAUAUAUGUAUAUCUACGUACAAAGAUAAAAGUCGAAUCAUAUAUUUCUGCGUGGCAGGUAAUUGUUUUGCUAAAAAAAAAGAGAAAAAGAAAAAAAUAUCUACAGGAAUCAUUAAAAACUCGCCUUUCAACACUUUUCAAGUAGUGACCGUCUAUUGCGAUGGGAUUCAAAGAAACAAAAAAAAUUGAAUCUGACCACCAUUUUCUGUUAUCUUACGUCAUACGUCAUAUAUAUCCUGCGAAGUCAUAAAAUCGAAUGUGACGUGUGGAAAUGUACGCGCAUACAUAAAUACAUGCGUACCUACUUACCGAUCUACCUAUAUUCGUAAAACUGUCGUAGAUUAUUUAUUGGGCAAUUCUGGGGUGCGAGAGGAGAAUGAAGUGUAAAGAGAGAGAGAGAGAGAGAGAGAGAGAGAGAGAGAGAGAGAGGGAGAACAAAACGUAAUGGCAAUGGCAAAGGCCUGGCAGUCAAGAACGAAGACAGGACAAAUAUGAGGAAACGAUAUACCUAUUAUUCCAUUGUGGAGUAUGCACGAGAAUCGUUAUUCAUGGAUUCAGUGUACUCGACGUAACUAUAACUGUUAAAUUAUAAUAAAUAAAUAUAAUAUAAGCGGUAUCUAUACGAGAAA
This is an RNA transcript of Cephus cinctus (wheat stem sawfly), 4887 nucleotides long. It is a transcript of the gene named protein doublesex, with no coding region annotated. The record is from RefSeq and is a predicted model, not a curated record. NCBI's taxonomy places the organism in Eukaryota, Metazoa, Arthropoda, Insecta, Hymenoptera, Cephidae. The transcript has 6 exons.